Long non-coding RNA from Peromyscus californicus insignis, 3265 nucleotides. RefSeq lists it as uncharacterized. NCBI's taxonomy places the organism in Eukaryota, Metazoa, Chordata, Mammalia, Rodentia, Cricetidae. The transcript has 2 exons. The record is from RefSeq and is a predicted model, not a curated record.
UCCUCCCCUCAAAAUCCAUGGGGCGCAGCACCUUGCCUCCUCAUUGAGUGUGGUGGUUAGUUUUCAACUUGCCACAACCUAGAACCAUCUGAGAGCCUCUGGUGAGAAAUUUUCUAAAUAUGGUUGGCCUAUGAGCAUGUCUCUGAGGGACUGUGUGGAUUACUGAUUGAUGUAGGAAGAGCUAGCCCACUGUGGGUGGCACCAUUCCCUAGGCAGGGGAUCCUGAGCAAUAUAAGACAGGGGAAAGCCAGGUAAAGCAAGGGUCCAUCCAUUUGUCCUCUCUCUACUCUGGACUGUGCAUGUGAUAUUUUAAGUUUCUGCUUCAACUUCUCCUCUAAUAAUGGACGGUGGCCUGGGAGUGUCAGCCAAAUAACUCCUUCCUCCUCUAAGCCACUUUUGGUCAGGAAGUUUUUUCACAGCGACAGAAUGAAACCAGAACACUGGGUCUCUGCUCAAAGAACACCUUCCCCACAAGGCCUUCCUCCUCACACUAUUAAAAACUGUCCCCACUCUCCCAUGUCCCACCUCCCCCUUCCUUCUUUUUUCUUUUUUUUCUGCCUCACUUGCCUGCCUUAAACACACCACAGUUUUCCUACUGCGUGAUAUCACCCACCUCCCCAAUGCCCGACACAGGGGAGCCUAACAGAUAUGUGCUGGAUGCAUAAAAACAAGCGCUGAUUGGUUAACUUUGUUGUUGUCGUUUCUUUAACUCAACUGAAAUGGCACCCAUUACGCGUUGUUUGCGUUGAGUAAAAUUCACCCCCCACAUACUUCUCUGCACUGCCAUAGAAGGAGCUUCAUUUGAUUUUAGUCUCGCAGAUGACCUUGGUUGGUAUAUGAGACAGGAGUGAAAAGAAUUCUGACCCCACAGAGGUGAAAACCAAGAGUCCGAGAGGUGAGGUCCCAGCACGUUCACUGGGUCACCGUCGGAACUGGGUUGGGCUUCGUUUACUGAUAUAAGGAUAACUAAGGAAGGCUGGCAAGAACCAAUGUAAAAGAUUUAUUUCAUCACAGUUCUACAGGACAUGAGAAAAGCCGCUUCAGGGACUUAAGUAACUUUGGCUUAUCGUUCAGGGGGCAGAGUCCAUCGCAGCAAGGAAAACACGGCAGCAGGCAGGCUGAGCAGGAAGCCAGCUGAUCACAGGGCCUCCUCUCCAGGAAGAAAAGAGAGAACAAGGGGUGGGACUGAGUUAUAAAAUCUCAAGGCUGCCCCUGCUCACUCCCUGCUCCAGCAAGGAUGCACAUCCCAAAGGUUCCGUGACUUUCCCCGCACAGCACCAUCAGCUGGGAUCACGUGAUCAAACACGAACCUACGGGGACAUUUCUCACUCAAACUACAACAUAAAUGAAGAGCUGAUUCACAAAAAAACUGUAUUUGUAAGCUUAAUCUUGUCAUCGUAGGAUAAAACCAACCUAAUUAAGAGCAAAGCAAACGUUUAUCUGCUGGGCAGAAGGGGUAAACAAUGUUCCCAAGCUCAAAUGGGAUCAAGAGUAGGCAGGGUUGCUGCCCAGUUCAAAAGUUCUGCUGUGGACCUGUCUGAGACCUUAUUAACAAUGCCUGCCAACUCCAUUUUUAUUUUUAUUUUUUGAUCUUCUCAAUAAAGAGCGGACGUCCAUGUAGAAAUGCCACUGUGCACGGACAGAAAACCUAUUGAGGAUGAACCCUGAGCACAAGUCCUGUCCUGACCCUUCCUUCCUGCCUGUCUAGGAAUCAUGUGAACCCCUCCGGGAGGAGAUUUUAGGACCCACUCUCAGACUCCGUAGGUCGGAGAUUUAUGGCUAGAUUUUACCAGAACAGAUGGAAGGACGAUUGGAUUCCUAUUUCUAGGUUUUAUGACUGCCUUUGGGGAGGGGGAACUGGGGUUCUAGUUUCUCUGUUGCCAUGGAGAGGAGAGGGGAUGCACAGGAGGUUUGGAGGGCUGAGGCCUCCUGUGCGUUUGACAUCACCGCCCUGCGCCUGCUGAAGCACCUGUUUUUGUCCUAGGUUCGGAACCUGGGUCCCCACCUCGGGGCUUUGGGGUUGCUUGUGAGUAUUUAUCUCCUUCUCCUCUGCGCAUCUGUUCUUCCUGAGACAUUUUUACUUUGCUCCAAGAAACAACGCCUGUAUUUUCCUCCUUGUUUUUCUCCCCCACAUCUUAUACAGAUAGCUGUCAUCCUCUGCCCUUCCACCCCCUUCCAGAAAGAAACCCUUGCUCUUCCCUCUGGGCAGCAGCGCCUGGAACAAGGGUUCCUGCUUUCCGGGUGGUCUCCAGGUAUGAAGGGCAGAACCAGGUCCUGGACUCUUAAAAUAAUGGCCAUGGUUGACAUAAUUCACAUGUGCCCUAGAGGUCUGGUACCUCCCCUUCUUCCCAGGGCAGGCUCCCAGUCUCCUGGGCCCCACACACCCCUGUCCCCAUCCUCGCUCUGCUCAGGACAAACCGGCAUGUCCCUUCUCACUGGCUCUGGAAUUUUCCGCGCCUGUCUGAAUUACAACACUGUCUCACUGGGUCAGUGGCUUGCAUUGUUAUCUCACAUCUUCAUCAAUUCGAUCCUUCUUUCUAGACACCACCGUUGUCCCAGGGUGGGAGGAUCAAAGAAGACGCCCGGUCCUUUAUCCCCACUAUAUACACCAAAGUGCCCAGUCCCAUCCAGGAGUUUGAGGGGGUGUGUGGGGUGGGGGCUGGCAAUCUCAAGCAGGAUUUAUAGCUUAAGUGGGCAAGGUGAGAAUCAGAGUGUGUAACACACACAAGGGGAAAGCCACCAGCAUCCCUCCCACCCACCCCACAGUGACGCACACCUCGGGUUUCUCAUGGAUUUUUGCGCACAAAGCUGCUGUCGCAGACAUGGAAGAGCGCAGCAGUUUGGGUUGUAAAUCAACAAUCAGGCCAGGCUGGGCGGGCGGGUGCCCGGCGAUGCAGCGCUCCGCUCCCCUAGGGGCUGCGGCAGCAGGCGCUUGGAAUUUUCCACCGGUGGGCAGACCCGCAGAGCCGCAUCCCAUUGGCGGAGCUCGGUGGCGUCGCUGCGUGGGUGCAGAGUGGAUAGCUGUUCUGUGACCUUGAAGCACUGCCCCUAGAGAUGUCCUACCUGUGACCUUGAAGUAUCUGCCCCUGGGGUAUGACUCAGGACUACCCUUAAGACUACUCUACUCUUUCCCUGGUGGACUUGGAUGCUGAGACAGGCUGAAGAACAGUGUGGGCUGUAACUCCGCCCUCUAGGGCCCUGUGAUAAAUCUCCUGUGCUGUAGUGAAUUUUCCUCCCUAAUAAAUUCCUUCACUCUUUAAGCAGA